CCUACGGGAGGCUGCAGUGGGGAAUAUUGCACAAUGGGCGCAAGCCUGAUGCAGCGACGCCGCGUGAGGGAUGACGGCCUUCGGGUUGUAAACCUCCUUCAGUAGGGACGAAGCGGAAGUGACGGUACCUACAGAAGAAGCACCGGCCAACUACGUGCCAGCAGCCGCGGUAAUACGUAGGGGGCAAGCGUUAUCCGGAAUCACUGGGUGUAAAGGGUGCGUAGGCGGUAGGGCAAGUCAGAUGUGAAAGCCCGGGGCUCAACCCCGGGAUUGCAUUUGAAACUGUCUUACUAGAGUGCAGGAGAGGAAAGCGGAAUUCCUAGUGUAGCGGUGAAAUGCGUAGAUAUUAGGAAGAACACCAGUGGCGAAGGCGGCUUUCUGGACUGUAACUGACGCUGAGGCACGAAAGCGUGGGGAGCGAACAGGAUUAGAUACCCCAGUAGUC
This 445-nucleotide ribosomal RNA is filed under the name uncultured bacterium. RNAcentral's name for it is "bacterial SSU rRNA". It matches the Rfam family "Bacterial small subunit ribosomal RNA", at positions 338 to 795 of the family's 1533-position model. The record is from RNAcentral.